UAUGAAGAACGCAGCGAAAUGCGAUAAGUAAUGUGAAUUGCAGAAUUCAGUGAAUCAUCGAAUCUUUGAACGCACAUUGCGCCCGCCAGCAUUCUGGCGGGCAUGCCUGUUCGAGCGUCAUUUCAACCCUCGAGCCCCCCCGGGGGCCUCGGUGUUGGGGGACGGCACACCAGCCGCCCCCGAAAUGCAGUGGCGACCUCGCCGCAGCCUCCCCUGCGUAGUAGCACACACCUCGCACCGGAGCGCGGAGACGGUCACGCCGUAAAACGCCCAACUUCUUAGAGUUGACCUCGGAUCAGGUAGGAAUACCCGCUGAACUUAAGCAUAUCAAUAAGCGGAGGA
This 342-nucleotide unclassified non-coding RNA is filed under the name soil metagenome. RNAcentral describes it as "partial contains 5.8S ribosomal RNA, internal transcribed spacer 2, and large subunit ribosomal RNA". The stretch from base 2 to 120 matches the Rfam family "5.8S ribosomal RNA", at positions 36 to 154 of the family's 154-position model. The record is from RNAcentral.